CCUACGGGUGGCAGCAGUGAGGAAUAUUGGUCAAUGGGCGCUAGCCUGAACCAGCCAAGUAGCGUGAAGGAUGACUGCCCUAUGGGUUGUAAACUUCUUUUAUAUGGGAAUAAAGUGCAGUAUGUAUACUGCUUUGCAUGUACCUUAUGAAUAAGGAUCGGCUAACUCCGUACCAGCAGCCGCGGUAAUACGUAGGAUCCGAGCGUUAUCCGGAUUUAUUGGGUGUAAUGGGAGCGUAGGCGGGUUUGUAAGUCAGUUGUGAAAGUUUGCGGCUCAACCGUAAAAUUGCAGUUGAUACUGGCAUACGUGAGUACAGGAGAGGGAGGCGGAAUUCGUGGUGUAGCGGUGAAAUGCUUAGAUAUCACGAAGAACUCGGAUUGCGAAGGCAGCCUGCUGGACUGUAACUGACGCUGAUGCUCAAAAGUGUGGGUAUCAAACAGGAUUAGAUACCCUUGUAGUC
RNAcentral lists this ribosomal RNA (460 nucleotides) under uncultured bacterium. RNAcentral's name for it is "partial 16S ribosomal RNA". It matches the Rfam family "Bacterial small subunit ribosomal RNA", at positions 338 to 795 of the family's 1533-position model. The record is from RNAcentral.